This 381-nucleotide unclassified non-coding RNA is filed under the name uncultured Armatimonadota bacterium. RNAcentral describes it as "uncultured Armatimonadetes bacterium contains 16S-23S intergenic spacer region". The record is from RNAcentral. Lineage: Bacteria; Bacillati; Armatimonadota.
UCCGGCUUACACCGGCGGUCUCUUGUGAGUGCCCGACUUUAAUCGCUGGUAACACAAGACGAGGGUUGCGCUCGUUGGCGGACUUAACCGUACACCUCACGGCACGAGCUGACGACAGCCAUGCAACAUCUGUCUUCAGGUCCCCUUGUGGGGGAGGGCCCUAUCUCUAGGGCUUGCCAUCGAUGUCAAGCGUGGGUAAGGUUCUUCGGUUAGUAUCGAAUUAAUCCACAUGCUCCACCGCUUGUGCGGGUCCCCGUCAAUUCAUUUGAGUUUCAACCUUGCGGCCGUACUCCCCAGGCGGGAUACUUAAUGCGUUAGCUGCGGCACAGAAGGGGUCGAUACCUUCUACGCCUAGUAUCCAUCGUUUAGGGCGUGGACUAC